This 547-nucleotide ribosomal RNA is filed under the name uncultured eukaryote. RNAcentral's name for it is "SSU rRNA". It matches the Rfam family "Eukaryotic small subunit ribosomal RNA", at positions 21 to 570 of the family's 1831-position model. The record is from RNAcentral.
UGUAGUCAUAUGCUUGUCUCAAAGAUUAAGCCAUGCAUGUCUAAGUAUAAGCAAUUAUACAGCGAAACUGCGAAUGGCUCAUUAAAUCAGUUAUCGUUUAUUUGAUAGUACCUUACUACAUGGAUAACCGUGGUAAUUCUAGAGCUAAUACAUGCUAAAAAUCCCGACUUCGGAAGGGAUGUAUUUAUUAGAUUAAAAACCAAUGCCCUUCGGGGCUCUCUGGUGAUUCAUAAUAACUUCUCGAAUCGCACGGCCUUGCGCCGGCGAUGGUUCAUUCAAAUUUCUGCCCUAUCAACUUUCGACGGCUGGGUCUUGGCCAGCCGUGGUGACAACGGGUAACGGAGGGUUAGGGCUCGACCCCGGAGAAGGAGCCUGAGAAACGGCUACUACAUCCAAGGAAGGCAGCAGGCGCGCAAAUUACCCAAUCCCGACACGGGGAGGUAGUGACAAUAAAUACUGAUACAGGGCUCUUUCGGGUCUUGUAAUUGGAAUGAGUACAAUUUAAAUCCCUUAACGAGGAACAAUUGGAGGGCAAGUCUGGUAAUCG